GUAGGAGCCGGCUUGCUGGCGAUGGCGGUGGGGCAAUCAGCAUUGAUGUUGGCUGACCCACCGCUAUCGCCAGCAAGCCGGCUCCUAC
Molecule: unclassified non-coding RNA, 88 nt
Filed under: Pseudomonas migulae
Lineage: Bacteria; Pseudomonadati; Pseudomonadota; Gammaproteobacteria; Pseudomonadales; Pseudomonadaceae
Source: RNAcentral